AAACCUGUUCGUAGUUCGGAUUGAGGGCUGUAACUCGCCCUCAUGAAGCUGGAUUAGGUAGUAAUCGCGUCUCAAAAAGGCGCGGUGAAUAUGCCCCUGCUCCUUGCACACACCGCCCGUCAAACCAUCUUAGU
RNAcentral lists this ribosomal RNA (134 nucleotides) under uncultured archaeon. Its description in RNAcentral is "partial 16S ribosomal RNA". It matches the Rfam family "Archaeal small subunit ribosomal RNA", at positions 1234 to 1367 of the family's 1478-position model. The record is from RNAcentral.